CGCGUCCCACUGAGGACAGUGUCCCUGGUGAAUCCUCUCUGGUCCAGUAGGGGAAGAGGCAGAGCCUGAGCUGCAGGAGGAGGGGGCGCGGGAGAAGGAAGGGCCCGCGGGGGCGUCAGGCCGGGGGCGGGUUUGCAGCCGCCCGCAGAGCUUUGGCGCCUUGCGUCGCCGCGCCAGGAGGUUUCCGGUCACACCACGUAUCUGGGCAUGUGGCUUCUUCCCGGGCCGGCUGUUCUCACAGCCGCCGCCCUUCCCUCCCUUGGCUGCUGCCCCGCGUGGGAGGCGAGGGACGUCGGGGUCGUGUCCCCGGCGCUAGUUGGCGGGGCGGAGAGGUGGGGUUUCUCGGUGACCCACAGCGGGACCUCCCGUGGGCGUGGUGCGGGUUUGUGGGCUGUGGAACUGGAGUACAAGGUCACCAUGAGGACCCCGGGAGAGGGGUCCCCCUCUCAAAGGGCAGAGGCCCCUUGAAGGGGGUCUGACCUCGGGGUUUGCGAGGGUCAGGGCGGAGGAGGCGUGAGCCUUGAAAGACGGGGGCGAUCUGGCCAGUGGAGAUGUGGGUGCUCCAGGCCGAGCGAAUGCGAUGAUGGGGGCACGGGCCUGCUGGGGUCGAGGGCUGGAGGAGUGCGAGGCGAGCCGGAAAGGUCCCGGCCCGUCCAGUGCCUGCGGAGUGACCCGCGGAGGUAGCCCUUCCCUUCUGGGCCUUCAAGUCCUCAUCUGUAGUAGUCAACCCAACGCUCCUGAACCUGGCUCCCACCUUCGUUUCCUUCUCCAGGUGGGCUCUGCUUUGAUGACAGGCUCAUUCUUGGAGGAAUACAGUGGAGACCUAUAGAAGAGAAUUAAGCAGGAGGAAUGGGUGCCAAUGGCAGAUGUAUCAAGACGGGGGGACUGUUGCCUCUUUCUUAAGAGAAUGAAGACACUCAUCAUAUCAGCAAAAUUCAAGUAUACAAGGAGACAAAGGCUUAGAAAGUGAAGUGACACAGAAGCAGAACCAGGACCCAAACCAAGGUCUUCUGAAUCCAAGUUCUGGGGUUUUCUGCUCUGCCAUUCACUGAACUGAAUACACAGCCAACUGUGUGUGCACCCAUGUCAGGAAAACAAAGACAAUACCUAUAUUUUCAGGUGGAAUACAUUUCAGGCCCACGCCACCGAGUGCUCUGAAGCACCCAACAACUACCAGCCAGGCUCUGGUCAAGGAGGACGAGCUCCCCCGUAGUUCAGCUGCUGAUAAAAUCUAGGGUCCCGGGGAGGAAUAUGACCUAGGGAUUCCAUGGUCCUGCCAGGUUGCCCUCUCAGUCAUCAACUAAAAGCCCAUCCAAGGCCCUGAAUAUGGCCUGGGUCCUCACCCCACAUGGCCAACUGUAGCCAUAAACCCAGGCCAGUGACAGGGCUUGGGAGUCCAAAGGAUUACUAUCUUAGUUUUAGACCCAUAAAUCACCUUGAAAUUGGAAACAGCCCUGGAAAUUCUGGAUUGGUUGAUAGAUGUUUUUCCCAAGAUGGCAACACACCCAGCCCUAGACAUUUACACUUGCCUCAGGCCUAUAUAACAGCUUUCUACUUAGAAACUUUAAAAUGUACACUAGCCACUAUUUGGGUAUUUUUUUUAAAUUGAAGUAUAGUUGAUUUACAAUGUUGUGUUAAUUACUGCUAUAAGGCAAAGUGACUCCGUUAUACACAUAUAUACAUUCUUUUCCAUAUUCUUUUCCAGUAUGGUUUACCAAAGGGUAUUGAAUAUAGUUCCCUGUGCUAUACAGUAGGACCUUGUUGUUUAUCCAUUCUAUAUUUACCAGUUUGCAUCUCACUAGCCACUAUUUGGAAUAGCAGGUCCCCAAGCUCAGGAAAUGUCAUUAAAGGCUAACACCCUUGAAUGGGAUAUUACCAGGGAAUGCAUUAGUUUGACCAGUCAGCAGAACUCAGU
Long non-coding RNA from Globicephala melas (long-finned pilot whale), 1915 nucleotides. RefSeq lists it as uncharacterized. The record is from RefSeq and is a predicted model, not a curated record. Lineage: Eukaryota; Metazoa; Chordata; Mammalia; Artiodactyla; Delphinidae.